AGGGGUGUCGUUCAGUGGUAGGACCUGGGUCUCCAAAACCCAUGACGAAGUUUCGAUUACUUCCGCCCCUG
This 71-nucleotide transfer RNA is filed under the name Candidatus Daviesbacteria bacterium. RNAcentral's name for it is "tRNA-Trp". It matches the Rfam family "tRNA". Rfam says of the family: Transfer RNA (tRNA) molecules are approximately 80 nucleotides in length. Their secondary structure includes four short double-helical elements and three loops (D, anti-codon, and T loops). Lineage: Bacteria; Candidatus Daviesiibacteriota. The record is from RNAcentral.